This 253-nucleotide ribosomal RNA is filed under the name uncultured bacterium. RNAcentral describes it as "partial 16S ribosomal RNA". It matches the Rfam family "Bacterial small subunit ribosomal RNA", at positions 524 to 776 of the family's 1533-position model. The record is from RNAcentral.
UACGGAGGGGGUUAGCGUUGUUCGGAAUGACUGGGCGUAAAGCGCGCGUAGGCGGGCUGGAAAGUCAGAGGUGAAAGCCCGGGGCUCAACCCCGGAAUUGCCUUUGAAACUCCCAGCCUCGAGUUCGAGAGAGGUGGGUGGAAUUCCGAGUGUAGAGGUGAAAUUCGUAGAUAUUCGGAAGAACACCAGUGGCGAAGGCGGCUCACUGGACCGGUAUUGACGCUGAGGUGCGAAAGCGUGGGGAGCAAACAGG